RNAcentral lists this ribosomal RNA (441 nucleotides) under uncultured bacterium. RNAcentral describes it as "partial 16S ribosomal RNA". It matches the Rfam family "Bacterial small subunit ribosomal RNA", at positions 338 to 795 of the family's 1533-position model. The record is from RNAcentral.
CCUACGGGAGGCAGCAGUAGGGAAUUUUGCGCAAUGGGCGAAAGCCUGACGCAGCAACGCCGCGUGAUUGAUUAAGCACUUCGGGGUGUAAAGCUCUGUCAGUAGGGACGAAACUUGACGGUACCCACUGAGAAACCACCGGCUAACUCCGGGCCAGCAGCGGCGGUAAUACGGAGGGGGCAAGCGUUUUCCGGAAUCAUUGGUGGUAAAGGGUGCGUAGGUGGCAUAAUAAGUCUGGAGUUAAAUGCCGAAGCUCAACUCCUGUUCGGCACUGGAAACUGGUAAGCUUGAAUGCGGUAGAGGUAAAGGGAAUUCCUGGUGUAGCGGUGAAAUGCGUAGAUAUUAGGAGGAACAUCGGUGGCGUAAGCGCUUUACUGGGCCGUAAUUGACACUGAGGAACGAAAGCCGGGGUAGCAAAUGGGAUUAGAUACCCCUGUAGUC